UUAUAAUUGUAAAACAUUCAUAACAUAAACUUUACCACUUCGGCCAUUUUAAGUGUUAAUUAAAUAGCAUUAAUUACAUUUAAAUUGCAACCAACCACCGCUUCUGUCCAUGUCUAUAACACUUUUUUUUUUAAAUCUCAAAGGGGGACCGCGUGCCUACUGAACACUGCUUUUAGGGUAUCCCUGUUUGUUCCAGCCUCGGAUUGCUAGUCUGUACUCCCGGAGUCUCCAAGCCUGUGACUUUUACAGUAGUCUCAGAGAAACUGUAGCACCCGCUUUUGCAUCUGGCUUUGCUUUCUCAUUUAACGUGAAGAGGCCUUCAGCCAGCGUCUUCUUCCUUUGCAGAGAGAGAGAGAGCUUUUGACCACGGUGUCAGUGACCCAGGGAAGCUAUUAUAGGAGCAAUUUCUGGCACAGUGCAGGGCAGGCGAGCUAGUAUCAGCUUGAAGGAAGGAGCUCUCAGAGGACACCUGCCUGACCGGAUGUCCUUUCCAGCGUGGCCCAUUUCUCUGUGGUUUCUGUGAAUGGAGGCAGCAGAAGGGAGGGGCGACCUGAUAGAUGCUGAGCGGCCUCUGUGGACCUUCGCUUAUUCAUUCCAUCUUGCUGUCAUCUCAAAAGAAGGAAACCUGACCAGGAGGGUGGGUUCUGUCACCAUGACAACAAAACAAACCCACGGAUGAGGAUAAGUAGAGGAAAAGGAUCCUUGGGUGAUGGUGCUUUGCAGGAGGCCUGUGUCUAUACCGCCUUCCCUCACAGAGGCUUUCACCUCCUCGUCCUCAGCUUGGAUUUCCUUCUUCCUCUCUUGCUUUAGACCCAGGGGACAUUGUCCUGGCCAGAGGGAAGUGGCUGUGUUGGGUGACUUGAAUCUGGAAAAUGCUUGGCUUCACAAUCUUCUCAUACGCUGAGAGCAGGGCUCCCGGAAAGACUUAUGGUGGUUCAAGGGCAUCUUGCACAUCAGAUAGCUGUGGAAAGGCUGAUGCUGUCCAAGAGAACUCAAGGCCCAUGAACUGUGCUGUGCUGCACUUGGGGUUACAGGGAGUAAGUAGGCUUGGGUUACUUAUUUUUUGUACUGGUACUGCAGCCUGGAGUGUAGUCUAGGUAUACUAGUUAGAGGGACAGAAUUUAUAGAAUGAGUGAGUGUGUGUGUGUGUGUGUGUGUGUGUGUGUGUGUGUGUGUGUAAAGGGAGGGUUAUAAGAAUGGCUUACAGGCUAUGGUCCAGCUAACCCAACAAUGACUGUCUACCAACAAAAGUUACAAGAAUUUAGUAGUUUUUCAGUCUGUGCAUCAGGGUGAAAGUCUCACUGGUCUUCAGUAUACAUCAGAAUCCCAAAGAAGUCGGCUCUAAUGCCAGUGAAGGAGUGGACUUGCCACUGAGAGUGAGGGCAAGCAGGCAGAGAGCAAAAAGAAGGCAGAGCCUUCUUCCAAGUCCUUAUCUAGGAUUGCCAGCAGAAGGUGUGGCCCAGAUUAAAGGUGGAUCUUCCUGCCUCAAAGAUCUGGAUUAGAAGGGGAUCUUUCCAUGUUAAAUGAUUUAAUUAAGAAAGCCAAACCAACCAAACAAACAAAAAUCCCCAAGCAAGCAAACAAGCAAACAAACGAACAAAAAAAAUCCCUCACAAGUGUGUCCAGUCAUUUGGGUUUUAGUUAAUUCCGGAGGUAGUCAAGUUGACGACCAAGAAUAAAUAGUCUUCACACUAGGCAAAGCACUCUAUCUGAGAACUCCAGAUUCAGGCCUUUUCAAGAUUUAAGGCAGGGUCUUGCUAAGAUGCUCAGCCUGGAUUUGAACUCACUGCAGCCCAGGCAAUGCCUAGAACUUGAGGUCCUCCUGCUUCAACCUUCCAAGUAGCUGGGCAGCAGGCGUGGGCCAUCCACACAGCUCUUUGAGGGUGGAUUGAUUUCAUUCAUUCUUCAUUCAUUCACCUCCUCCUCUUCCUUUUUUGUUUGCCUGCUUGUUUGUUUGUUUUUUAGUAUUUUGGAAUAAAAAAGAUAGCUUUAUUCAGGUUCAUUGUGCUACAUUGGAGACCAGAAAGACAUUUGUAAUUAUUCACAUAGUGUAACAUUUCAAACAACCUAUGCUGAAAAUUGGUAACUGAGUUUCCUCUUACUUUUCUCUGCGAUUUCCCCAACAGACAGGCUGGGAGAGAUCAAUAGAUACAGAGGUACAGCAAUGAGAAACAUUCUGAAACCGUUGAAAGAACAAGGAAUAUCUCUGUGUAUUCAGAGAAUAUUAAAUCAUAUACAAAUGCUUUCCACAACAUAGUCACCUUUUUCUUUAUCUCCUCAAAGACCCCUGAAAUGCAGUGGGAAGGAAACACUCGCCUUGAGGUGAGUGAGCUUUGAGCUGCCGUCUUAGCCUGGAGUUGUGACUCUUUUUACCUCUUACAUCUAGCUCCUUCUCCUGCUUCAGACACCUCCCAGUUCCCAGGUCUACAGAGUCCUGUCCCCUACAAUACUCCCCAGGGGUCCUCCAGGGCUCCUCCCAGUCAGGCUUCAGAACCUUUGACUUUUCUGGCAGGAAGUUCCCACUCAAUGAGCCUUUACUCAAUUUCUCUUUUGUGAAUUCUACCAUCCGUCCCCCCCCCCAAUAACUUACACCUGUUCCAGAGGAAUAGGGCAUAGGAGGCCUCUGUCGCUUUAAUUUGAUGUUCUAGACAGUUUAUGGCUCUCUGACUAGAGGUCUGAUGGGUUUGUGUGUCUGUCAGGGAAGAACAUCCAGGCUGAACUGGGAAGACAGAGUCACUGCUCAGAGCCACCUAAGCAAAUCUCCACAGGUGCAUGCUCUCCCUACAGUGCGAGCCCAGUUCUCUGACAUGAUGCCCUAGUCUCCUGUCAGAUCACCUCUCCUUUGACCAUUGGGUUUAUGUCACUUGGCUUCCUGCCUGUUCAUAGGACCCUACAUGUCCUGGCCAAUGAUGGCAACUUUAAGUGACACUGACUUGUUUUGCCUCACACUCUCUUCUAGGUAUCAUGGGAGAAACAGGUCCUUGAAAAGUUCCCUCCCCAUCCAUCUAACUGCUCCAUUCCCAAGCACCAGGCCUCAUGACUCACCUCCUGUCAACAAAGAAGGCAGUCAAUAUGUAAGCUUCCAAAAUGUUACGUCAGAGCUGAAAGCUGCUCAUGCCUGGGAGUACGAUGGGGGAGCCCAUACAAAGGCACAUAAAGGCCUGCCAGGAUGCUGCCUUCCGGUAAUCCCAACACCCAGGAGACUGAGGCUGGAGAGUCCUGGGUCUGGGAUACAUAGUAAAACCUUGUCUCGAAACAAAACAAAAAGAAAAAAAAAGAAUGAAAACAAACAGAUGUAGGAUUUUUGGCGGUAAACAGAGGAGAGAAACCUGGCAGCUCUAAAGGUUUUGUGCCUGCAGCUGUCAGUACCAGAAACACUCAGCUCAAGCAAGAGAGGUUGUCAUUGCUGGUGCUUGCAAGUCAAAUGGGAAGGGUUCCGGCUGAGCUGCCUCCCGAGGUUGGAUGAUGUCACUAAAGACCCACUUUCUAAUGGCUUUCAGUGGCUUUGUAAACUUACGAUUUCAUUAUUUGAAUCCAGAAGGGAAGAGAGAAAUGCCCUGUUUCUGGUGUUUUCUAGAAAAUUUUUUCUACCCUUAAACUGACUGAGGUGUCUCACGAUCAACUUCCAGCCAAUCACCAUGGCCACAGGUAGGGAAUGUGCUGAUGGAAAGAUCAGGUGGCUCCUAGAAUGGGGGAAGUUGACUCCCUCAGAAAACCACAGGCUUUCAAGUAGAAACCAAGAAAGAAAGCACAGGGACACAUGCUCUGGAAGCCACCACCAAUGUGCAUGUGUUAGAUGGAGCAUGGGAACCAGAAACUGAUCAUCAAAGCAGCUCCCUGGAUGAAUGGAAGGAAAUUACCAGUGUCUGUGUGCAUGAGUGCUGUGGCACUGGGAGCUGGCCUCUGCCAAGAGCAGGGGAGGAACGUUUGGUUGGAAUUUUGCAGUCUUUCUGCCAGUUUUUGGGCAGGUACACAGUUGGGCUGUGAAUACAUGCUUGCAGGUGUCUUUGGAAUGGAUACCAGAGCCACAAGCUGGUGCCUUGCUUGGCCACUCCCAUGGCCAGGGCCCCAUCGUCCCCACACAGGCGUGGCAGCAUGAAUGUCUACUCAUUACAUUUCCUUGUAAUCUGGACAUUAAUCCAAGCUCAAGGAAUGCAAUGUUAACCCACACAAUGCACUAGAAGCAACCUCGAGCCUUCUGGACGUCACGGGUUAGCAGCACAGUCCCCUGUAAGGGCUUGUUUACUUAUGCAAUGCACAGGUUUUACUUGGUUCAAUGUACUGUGUUACAACAACCUAGCAAUUUGCAUGUUCUUCCUGAUUAUCUGGUAAUUAAACCCAGUAAGUACAAACAUACUGUAAUUAUCGUGUAACCGACCAUCUGGACGGAGGGAUGGGAAUAACUGUGUAUUUACGCUAUAACUGUAUGAUAAUUAUGACGUAAUGGAAUGAUCCAAGAAAGAGGAUUUGCCGAGA
Molecule: non-coding RNA, 4476 nt
Organism: Rattus norvegicus (Norway rat)
Lineage: Eukaryota; Metazoa; Chordata; Mammalia; Rodentia; Muridae
Source: RefSeq, a predicted model, not a curated record